RNAcentral lists this long non-coding RNA (431 nucleotides) under Pogona vitticeps (central bearded dragon). RNAcentral describes it as "lncRNA (ENSPVIG00000012642.1)". Lineage: Eukaryota; Metazoa; Chordata; Lepidosauria; Squamata; Agamidae. The record is from RNAcentral.
UUUCCCCCCACCAACCAAAAGAACAAGAGCUAUGAAACACUUAAGCCCUAGAUGAAGUGUGUAAAGGCUGAGGACUUGGGGAGCUACAUAUGCCCAAGCUGUCCAGCAACAUACUUAGCUGACGGAGCUGACAGAUUGUGCAAUUUUGCUGAGGUAAUUACUCAAUGGUUCAGCAAAUGGUGGCAAGGAUGGAUGAGUAGAGAAGACAAUAGAGCCCAGGACUGCCUAUUCAACAAUAUCCUAUUAUCUGGAAUUUCAAGGCCAAAGCUUGAGACAGUGGAUUCUUGGGACAGCGUAGGGCAAGAUUUUACGAUGUCAUAGAGGCAGGUCAGUAAAGGGUUGGUUGAAAUGGCAUGAUGGGCCCUAUGUCACAGGAAGGCUGCACUGGCCAUCCCAAAAGCUCAAAAAUACCAGAAAGGAAGGAAGGAAGG